Molecule: unclassified non-coding RNA, 391 nt
Filed under: soil metagenome
Description: partial contains 5.8S ribosomal RNA, internal transcribed spacer 2, and large subunit ribosomal RNA
Rfam family: 5.8S ribosomal RNA (bases 1-122)
Source: RNAcentral
GAUGAAGAACGUAGCGAAAUGCGAUACUUGGUGUGAAUUGCAGAAUCCCGUGAACCAUCGAGUCUUUGAACGCAAGUUGCGCCCGAAGCCAUUAGGCCGAGGGCACGCCUGCCUGGGCGUCACACGUCGUUGCCCCCCCAUCUACUCCUUCGGGAUUGCGGGGGGCGGAUGAUGGCCUCCCGUGCGCCUCGUCGCGCGGUUGGCCUAAAUGCCAAGUCCUCGGCGACGCACGCCACGACAAUCGGUGGUUGCGAAACCUCGGUUGCCCGUCGUGUGCGGUCGUCGCGCAUCGAGGGCUCGAAAAAAUUGCCGGGCUUCGGCUCGACUUUCAACGCGACCCCAGGUCAGGCGGGGUUACCCGCUGAAUUUAAGUAUAUCAAUAAGCGGAGGA